CACACACCUGGGGAAUUGCUGGCCUGACCUCUGACCCCUGACUCCUCAUACCCUUCCUCCAGAGCAUGACAUUUGACCACCAACUGAAACCUGACCUCUGACCCCAGACCACUGGCCCUUCCCCCACCCUGUGGUGACUUCAUAAAGGUUACUAGCUUCUCCCCUGGCCUUGAGACCCACACGAUGGCCCUGCUGGCCCUGGCCAGUGCCGUCCCGUUUGCCCUGCUGGCCGUUGCUGUCUUCAGGGUGCCCGCCUGGGCCUGUCUCCUCUGCUUCACAACCUACUCUGAGCGCCUCCGCAUCUGCCAGAUGUUUGUUGGGAUGCGGAGCCCCAAGCUUGAAGAGUGUGAGGAGGCCUUCACGGCCUCCUUCCAGGGCCUCUCUGACACCGAAAUCAGUGAGGAGACCAUCCACACUUCAUCAGUGUCCUGGGGAAGGUGCAGAGGGAGGGCCGGAGAGGCCCAGAGGGUCAGGCUGAGGGACAGACAGAGAGAAACAGUCAGAGGAGAAAGGCUCAAAGACCAUGAGAACAACAGAGACUUAGGGACAGAGAGACACAGACAGGGGAAGACAGCAGGGCAAAGACUCAGAGAGGGGAGGAUGGAGAGUCAGAGAGGGGAGGAUGGAGACUCAGAGGGGAGGAUGGAGACUCGGGAGGAUGGAGACUCAGAGAGGGGAAGAUGGAGACUCAGGAGGAUGGAGAGUCAGGAGGAUGGAGACUCAUAGAGAGCGGAGGAUGGAGAGUCAGGAGAGGAUGGAGACUGGAGAGGGAAUAGAGACCCAGUGAGGGGAGGAUGGAGACUCAGAGGGGGGAAGACAGAGACUCAAAGAGGGUGGAAACCCAGAGAGGUGAGGAUAGAGAUGAGGCAGAGACUAGGGGAAGCAGGAUAGCAACCGGUCGGGGGGCAGAGACUCAGGGAGGAUAGAGACUCACAGAGAGGUGAGGAUAGAGACUUGGGAGGGACUCAGGAAGCAUAGCGACUGUGGGGCAGAGUCAGAGAGGGGAGGAUACAGACUUGGGAGGGCAGAGACUCAGAAACAGAAUGUUCCCAUUAGGGACAUGGUGUUGCGGGGAGCUGCCUCCCCCAGCCCCUGCUCCCUCCCUUACCGCCAGACUAUGAUGAGAGAAGCCACCUGCAUGACACCUUCACCCAGAUGGCCCAUGCCCUGCAGGAGCUGGCUGCUGCCCAGGGAUCCUUUGAGACUGCCUUCCCUGAUGCUGCGGAGAAAAUGAAGAAGGUCAUUACACAGCUUAAAGAAGCCCAGGCUUGCAUCCCUCCCUGCGGUCUCCAGGAGUUCGCCCGGCGUUUCCUCUGCAGCGGGUGCUACUCUAGGGUCUGCGACCUCCCGCUGGACUGCCCAGUUCAGGAUGUGACAGUGACUCGGGGCGACCAGGCUAUGUUUUCUUGCAUCGUGAACUUCCAGCUGCCAAAGGAGGAGAUCACCUAUUCCUGGAAGUUCGCAGGAGGAGCUCCGGACUCAGGACUUGUCCUAUUUCCGAGAUAUGCCGCGGGCCGAAGGAUACCUGGCGCGGAUCCGGCCGGCUCAGCUCACGCACCGCGGGACGUUCUCCUGCGUGAUCAAGCAAGACCAGCGCCCCCUGGCCCGGCUCUACUUCUUUCUUAACGUGACGGGCCCGCCCCCGCGGGCGGAGACAGAGUUGCAGGCCUCGUUCCGGGAGGUGCUGCGCUGGGCGCCGCGGGAUGCCGAGCUGAUCGAGCCCUGGAGGCCCAGCCUGGGCGAGCUGCUGGCCAGGCCCGAGGCUCUGACGCCCAGCAACCUAUUCCUGCUUGCAGUCCUCGGGGCCCUCGCAUCAGCGAGUGCGACAGUGUUGGCGUGGAUGUUCUUUCGAUGGUACUGCAGUGGCAACUAACAAAGAUAUCUCUUUCCUCCUUCCCUAUCCUAUUUCCAUCCUGAAAAUAAAGAAUAUAUUUCGACUGUA
RNAcentral lists this small RNA (1942 nucleotides) under Pongo abelii (Sumatran orangutan). Its description in RNAcentral is "retained intron". Lineage: Eukaryota; Metazoa; Chordata; Mammalia; Primates; Hominidae. The record is from RNAcentral.